Molecule: long non-coding RNA, 716 nt
Filed under: Hordeum vulgare
Lineage: Eukaryota; Viridiplantae; Streptophyta; Magnoliopsida; Poales; Poaceae
Description: long non-coding RNA (HVUL_LNC002495)
Source: RNAcentral
ACGAUCCACAUCUACGGUCUAGCGGCCUUGCUGCUGUCUCUCCAUCUCAUAUGCUCCGCACCUACUGCGCAAUGUAUGCACUUCCACAAAGCUAAUUCAUCUAAUGCGCGAUGUAGUUAUCAGUUCUUUCUCAUCUUUCAUUGUCUAACGUUGCUUAUGGUUGUAUGCAUCAAUUGAUGCAGAGGUCAGGGGUUUUAACCUCUUUUUCGAAAGAAAAAAAUGUCUAAUAUUGCUUGUUUGUUAAUCAGUCCAAUCAAUGGCUAAUUUAUCUAUUGUUCCAUAUAUAGGUCGGAUGAUGGGCGAAGAAGACGUGGAUGACGAGAAGAUCAGUUUACCGUAUGGGCUUUGUGUCAACAACAAACGAUGCAAAUAUGGAUGGAUUUGCUUGUGUUGUCUCACGAAUCUCGAGUGCUACCCGUCCAUGGAUGCGUGCAAGAUAGAUUGUCAGAAACCCUCUGCUGCUAACAUGGUGUCCAUGGCAAUGACCCCUUCUCCUUUACCUGCCCCCUCUCCCGCCUCUUCAUUAGGUUCAACUUGAAUUACAUAUUUAUUUAUUUUUGCCAGGGACUUAAUGGAUAUUGUGUGAAAAAAUAAUUUGGAAUAGAAGUAUCUCAUACAUUAGCUGUUGCAGUUUGAUUUGGCAUGUUGCACCAAUUACUAUUGCCCCACGAGGAUACCUGGUCAUUUUUUGUUGGUUUUACACUAGCAGUAUGGUG